AUCUUUAUAGUAUAUAAAUACGCUUCAUUUUCAUUGAAGAGAUGAAUUCUUUAUUUUCUUUAGAUA
This 66-nucleotide transfer RNA is filed under the name Gibbosaverruca weijiai. RNAcentral's name for it is "tRNA-Glu". Lineage: Eukaryota; Metazoa; Arthropoda; Thecostraca; Verrucomorpha; Verrucidae. The record is from RNAcentral.